This 13522-nucleotide long non-coding RNA is filed under the name Medicago truncatula (barrel medic). RNAcentral describes it as "long non-coding RNA (MTRU_LNC000179)". The record is from RNAcentral. Lineage: Eukaryota; Viridiplantae; Streptophyta; Magnoliopsida; Fabales; Fabaceae.
UUUUCUCUCUCUAGAUUUUUUCUUACUGUUUCUUCAUUGAGGGGUGGUUUUGGGUCAAUUCUUAACAUAAAAUCAUCCAUCUUCAUCUUUUUCUCUCUAUUUCAAUCUAAAUAAGUGAUUUUCACAUAGAUCUAGGUUUUUUUCUUUGUGAUUUCAUCAUCUAAGUGUGGUGGUUUGUUUUUCGUCGUCUUGUGCGGUGUUGUUUCAUUUCCCUAAUUAAUCCCGCCUUUUUGGGUGGAUCUGAGUAAUUUUUAUGAAAAAAAUUAGUUUGCAAGGAAUCAAACCAGGUACCAUAUGCUCACACUUUACAACUACAUCCGCUAUGCCACUUCUAUUUUUGUUGAAAUAUUGUUGCUUCCAAAAAUGAAAUACAUGACUAAAACAUUUUUUUUAAAGCCCGAACCACCCUAAUAGUUUCCUCUCUCAUAUCAGUUAUUUUUUAUUAUUAGCAGUACCUUUAUUGAUAAUAGUUCUUUCAGUAUGCUUACUACGUUUUACGAUAUUAAAGUUGUAUCUUUAAAAUUGUAGAUAAUUUGACUGAUUCAGAUGAUAAUUUUAUCAUUAGAAACUUCACUUUUUCCUUUAAUUUUGCCGGCCUCUUUGUUUCUCAUAUAUUAUAUUACUUGAAGUUGUUUAUUCUGACUUGUUAUUUGCGAAAAUCACUACAGGAGACUAUAACAUUACUUUGUUUUGGCAAAGUAAGGACUUUGAUUCCAUAUUCAUUUUUGUUAAUUUCCAUUAGUUAUAAGGUGUUGAGAGAAUAUUAUGAGGCUACCUUGAUUCUGCUACCAGAUUGUCGGAUCCACAGAAUCCAGGGGAUCCACAAGAGCUGGAAAAGAUUAGGACUACUUGUGUGGAACUUUCCCACGGAAUUGGACGGAAAUGCGUUUUCGGACGGAAUUCGGAUGGAUUGGGCGUUGUCCGAAAAAGCCGCGUCGCAAAUCGUAUUUUCAUCCCAAUUUCUGUCCGAAAUAUUUUUCAGACGGAUUUCGUACGGUUUUCGCACAAACGCAGUUGUGGGAUGUUGGACUAAAUUUCAAACGGAUUUCGGACGGAAUUGAAUUUAAUUUCCUACGGUUUUCGGACAGAACUGAAUUUAAUUACCUACGGAUUUCAGACGGAAUUUAAUUUAAUUUCCUACGAUUUUCAAAUGGAAUUUAAUUUAAUUUCCUACGAUUUUCAGACGGAAUUGAGUUAUAAUUUCCUACGGUUUUCAGAUGGAUUCUAGACAAAUUUUCAAACGAUUUUCAGACGGAUUUAAAUUGCUUUAAAAUAUUUUCCACACUUUUCAAUCGUGGUUAUAAUUUUUUUUAUUUUACAAAAUUGCCACAAUUCAUAUUUUUUAAUGAGUUUGGGGUAAAUUCCAACAUGUAAAAUUGAUAUUCAAUAAUACAUAUUAAAUCAAAUAAAAAUAAAUAAUAAUUCAAGAGUAAACAAAUGUUCAUUGUCUGAAACAAAAUUAUAUAAACUAGAUUUAUAUAAGUGCUCAAUGUUCUAACACAAUAUAUCACAAACUAACAUGACUAAAUUGUCCAUUAGUCAGUACUCAACAAUAAAAGUAACACAAUGAAGUGCACUAGUAGGGAUAGGGGAGACAACAUAACUCCAACCAAAAGGAAAUAGCCAAAAAAACAAGGUAAAUAGGUUUGGAAACAUAACUCCAACCAAAAGGAACUCCCAUGACAAAGCCAGCCAAAUACAAGACAGCAGCAGUCAAACACAUAUUUCAUAAAAAAAAAAAAAACAGAGAAACUGGCAGCAACAACCACAAAACAGUUGAACAACAAAAAAUCAGUUGGGCCAAACUUAUCAUUCAAAUCCAAAAAUAUCAUCAUUGUUUUCAUUAGAGGCUUCACCAACAUCAUUUGGUUCAUCUUGCAUAGGUGUCACACAAGCAAAGUUUGGAGGCAAUGACAUAUUCUGUUGGAACAAAAUGUGUUUCACAAUGAACCUUAUUAAGUUUUGAUGAUAACAAGGUAUUAAAAAUUGUCAAUUGGUUAUUACUAAUAAUUGUUCAAGUGUACAGGACCAAAGGCUACUCAAGUUAUUUCAAUAGGUCUUGGAAGAACAAUGGAAAGAAAAAGAAAUUCUGAGCAUCUGAAGAAAACUGCUCCUGAAGCUGAAGUGCUUCUGAAGUGAUGACGUCAUCAGAAGCAGAAGGUCAUCAGAAGCAAAAGGUUUUCAUCAGAAGCAAUAUCUUCACCAGAAGCUACGUUUGAUCCUUUAAUCAAACUGAAGAUUCAAAGUAGCUGAUUCUCAAUUCAGUCUUAUCCAAGAAGAACGAAGAAUUGAAAGGGAGGUAUCAACGGAUAUAUGGAUAGCACUGAGCACUUGUCUCUCGUUAAUAGAGUUGACAAAGUACAAGUGUACAACCACUACCUCCACUACUCUGUUUUCUGUCUGCGCUACAAGACAAGACAACAGCCAUGCCUGCAGAAGUUGUACGUUCAAGAUGGGAAUGAAUUUGAAGCUUAUUCUUCAAAGGACUACACCCAAAUUAGGCAAAGGAUUACUGGUGGAUAAUCAAAGGAUUUCAAACGACUCUUUAGACGUGCUGAUUAUCUCAACGUCUCUUUCACGCCUCUAUAUAAAGGAGUGAAGACUUGAAGAUAAAAGAUAGAGAUACACAAGUUAAAAAGCGCCAAAACUCUGUCAAUUUGAUUCUAAAAAGCACACUGAAUUUCUGCACUGAUUUGAUACAUCUUAGAAAUUCAAAGUCUAGAGUCUUUAUUGUAUUGUAUUGUGAACACCACUGAUUGUAUAUCAAGUGUUCAACUCAAACUCAAUUCUCUGUAUUUUUGUUUGAUCAGAAGUCUCUUGCCUGCGUGCUUGAGCAUUAGAAGUCUCUUGCUUAGUGCUUGAGCAUUGGAAGACUCUUGCGUGUGUGCUUGAGCAUUUUUGUGAAGUCUCAUACUUAGAAAGUAUUGAGCAGUUGUAAUCUUUGUGAUUAUAGUGAAAUCUCCUUGGAAGUGCAAGGGGGACUGGACUACUUCCGUGUUGUGGAAGGAACCAGGAUAACUGCUUGUGUCUUUGUCUUUCUUUUCUCUGCUCUGUUCUUUUCCGCUGCAAUCUGACUCUGAUCAUUUCAUCAGAAGCACUCAAACUGCUUCUGAAGUUUUAUCAGAAGAAGUAUUUUACAAGAGAAAAAGAAAACACAAUUCAACCCCCCCCCCCCCCCCCCCCCCCCCCUUCUUGUGUUUUUCACCUUCAUAUUCAACUUUUCAAAUAAAGUUGCAAGCAUGCUUUCAUUUGACUCAAUUCUUUUUUGUUGCUGCUCCAAUUUUUGUUUUUGCUCUUGGUUUAUACGUUCUUGCUCUUUUACCUUUUCUUUCCAUUUUAAGAGCUCUUGUUCCAUGUUUUUUUUCCUUAAAGGCAUUUGAGCAUGAACCAAUAGUAUACUUCGAAGUAUUUGUUCUUCAAACUUUGUAGGUUUAAUAAUUAUAUAAAUAAAAAUAAAAAUAUUGGCCGUCCGAAAACCGUCUCAAUAUUUCCCACGGAUUUGGGACAGAUUUGUAUUUUUAACGAAAUUCGUGGGAAAAAAACCUUUUUGAACAUGUCAUAAAAAUUUCACACGAUUUUGGGACGGAUUUGGGACGAAAAUUACGCUCCUUACAAACCAUCCCAAAUCCGUCCGAAAAAUUCAGACAAAAACACAUCCGUCCGAAAACGCUAUUUUUUUAGUAGUGGUUCCCAUACCUCCUACGGCGAUUGGGCCUCUUGAGCCAGCGGAGGUGGUUACGGCCUUCUUGGAGUUUGCUCUCCAUGUCCAAAGCCAGCAAGAGAUCAGGGGUGAGUCGGUCCCGGAGGACGAGGGGCAUAAGCAUUCAAAGGGGUACAUGAAAUGAUUCUACCGUGUAUCCCAUCUUCUUAUGAUCGUCCCUGCUACCGUUCCUGAGGACCACAGUUCCCAGACCUCCCUAUGAGGAGGUUAUUGUUGAGCAGCGGUGGGCCAGACAUCCUCCCGAUCCAUACCAGAUGAUCAUCCAAAAUGUCAGAGUCGUAGUUAACAGCGCUAUGGAGGGGAUUCCUUACGUGUAUUCAAAUCUUGUUGUUGUCCGCGUUAUUGAGAUCAUUCGGCACCAGUAUCGCGUGUUGGAGGAGGUGCCGACUCCGCGGAGGAGGAGGAGUCCACGGAAGUAGUUGGCUCUUAAAAAAAGCAUACUGUCUCCCCACCACCACAAGUAGUAGGCUCUUAAAAAAAGCAUACUGUCUCCCCACCACCACAAUGAAUAUUGCCUAAAAAUAAUUCCGAUAUAUACAUCCACCUCCACUUAUACUGAGUUAAACCAAAUCAAAUAAUUGCAAAAAAAAGUAAUCCUAAUCCACAAUCAAUAAUUCCGAUAUAUUAGGCUUUUAAAAAGUUUGAUUUGCUUUGUGACGUGUAGGUUAAUCCGUAAGCAUAUGGAAAUCUGACGUAUUUUCAUUAAUAAUUGUACCUCCCACUCACCAUUGUCUCUAACUAGUAUAAAACAUUAUAUUAUUCCCUAUGUUUUAUGCAUCAAUACAAAAAUCACACUAACUAAGAUGGCUUCUUUUUUCUCAUACUUGCUUGUGUUUUUCUUUGCAUUUCUGAUUCUCAUCCCUCAAGGCUUUGGUAAUGCUCCUAACCAUAAUAAACAUUUACAUCAUCCAUCAUCAACAUAUGUACAUCCUACCACCUUACCCAAACCAACUUACCCUGCCAGUACCAACAUUCCAAAAAAGCAUCCUCACCACCCUCCAAAAGAAGAUAACACUCAUUUCUAAAGUAUGAAAUGAGAGUUAUGAAAUAUAUAUGUACUGAAUAAGUGGUUCUAGUUACCAAGCUGUUUGUUUUCUAUAUAGUAAUAUGUACUCUCCUACUUGGCAACUGUGGGUGGGGUGUUUUUGUGUUUUGUGUGUGUACGUGUCAUGAAUAAAAAUUACUUGACAAGAAAGAGUGCUAUGUACUGCAGAUUAUAAAUAUUUUUAUUUGUGACACCAGAUUAUAAUAAAUAAAUAUUAUGAUUGUGUGAGAUUGAUAGGUUUAAUUGAUUUAUAUAUAUCGAGCAAUUUCAGACCGUAAAUAAGUCUAUAAUAUAAUACUAGUUAUUGCUAAUACUACCUUUUACGUAAACCUUGCUCUUCCUAAAAAUAAAAUAAUAUCAGUCAAACAAUAAAAGUGUGAAGAAACUUGUGAGCAAUUACAUGACGAUGUUGAUUAAUAUCCUCGCAAGCUCCUUUUUUGUGGAUGUUGAUACUCUCAUUUUUUGUGAGAAAUCUUGGUCUACAAUUACAACUAUCAAAGCCAGGCUUUUCCUUUUUAAAUUAAUUUCAGGCCUUAAAGUUAACUUUCAUAAAUGUUUGUUAUUUAGUGUUAAUAUAUCUCUUAUUUGGUUGAAAAUUGAUGUCGGCACAUUGAAAAAGGUUGAAAACACUGGUAAAAGACGUAAAUACCCCGUCGACAGUUAAUUACCGAGGAAAACAACCGACGGCAGUUAACUACUGAGGAAAACUUCGACAGUAAAUUACCGUCGAUUCGAUCCUGAGCAUAUGCAAAACAGAAGCAUCAGUUUUCCCAUUUCAUCUUUUCUCCAAAACUUCUCAAAAUUCACUCCAAUUAAGUUUUGGACGAAAUUCAACUUAAUUAUCUCCAUUUUAUCACAAGUAAGUAGGUUUAAUAAUUUUUAAUCAUAAUGUCAGUUUGUGUAGGUUUUUUUUUAAGUUUUGUAGUUUGCAUGCUGUUAGGGUUGAUGUAGGAAUUGAUAUUUUGAUGAUUGCAUGUAGUUUAUAAAUGAAUGUAGCUGUUGUAAUUGAUGUUCGAACGUGUUUUAAGUACAGUAUGUUUUGAAUGGUGUCAAAUGAAGAUAAUUUGAAUACUUUUGAUACUUUGCACACAAAGUGUUUGACAAAAUGCCCAAAUGAAAAUUUUAUUGAUUAUUUAGUUAGUUUAUAUUAUGCGAAUUAUAUUGAUUAUUUAAUUUGAUAAAACAACAAGAAUCAUUCAAUAAUAUCUCCCUCUCCAACAAGUCGGCCCUAGUUUUCUCUCUCUAGGUUUUUUCUUACUGUUUCUUCAUUGAGGGGUGGUUUUGGGUCAAUUCUUGACCUAAAAUCACCCAUCUUCAUCUUUUUCUCUCUAUUUCAAUCUAAAUAAGUGAUUUUCAGAUAAAUCUAGCUUUUUUUCUUUGUGAUUUCAUCAUCUAAGUGUGGUGGUUUGUUUUUCAUCGUCUUGUGCGGCGUUGUUUCAUUUCCCGUCUUCGUGCGGUGUUCAUUUGAUUUAUAUUGAAAGAUCCAUUAUUCAAACAAAGAUUUGGGCGUCAACAUUGCAGAUCCGGAGGCCAUGGAUAUUCCGGUCACUUUAAUUUUAUCAUAUAUUUUUCUAGGCAUUAUGCUGUUAUAUGCUAUUAACUUGGAUGAUGCAUGUUUGUUCAUAGAUUCAUCCUUUACGUUUUUAGCAGUGUUGAAUGAUGUAAUCUCUCGAUUUGAAUGAAUGAAUAUCAUUUUGUUUUUGUCAAAAAAAAAAAGAUAUUUGUUUGAUCUUAAUAUAUAUAAAUGUUAAACAUUCUGAUAAGUUUCCCUAAUUAAUUCCGCCUUUUUGGGUGGAUGUGAGUAAUUUUUAUGAAAAAAAUUAGUUUGCAAGGAAUCAAACCAGGUACCAUAUGCUCACACUUUACAACUACAACCGCUAUGCCACUUCUAUUUUUGUAGAAAUAUUGUUGCUUCUAAAAAAGAAAUACAUGACUAAAACAUUUUUUUUAAAUCCCGAACCGCCCUAACAGUUUCCUCUCUCAUAUCAGUUAUUUUUUAUUAUUAGCAGUACCUUUAUUGAUAGUAGUGAUCUUUUUCAGUAUGCUUACUACGUUUUACGAUAUUAAAGUUGUAUCUUUAAAAUUGUAGAUAAUUUGACUGAUCCAGAUGAUAAUUUUAUCAUUAGAAACUUCACUUUUUCCUUUAAUUUUGCUGGCCUCUUUGUUUCUCCAAUAUUAUAUUACUUGAAGUUGUAUAUUCUAACUUUUUAUUUGCAAAAAUCACUACAGUAGACUAUAACAUUACUUUGUUUUGGCAAAGUAAGGACUUCGAUUCCUUAUUCAUUUUUGUUAAUUUCCAUUAUUUAUAAGGCGCUGAGAGAAUAUUAUGAAGGCUACCUUGAUUCUGCUACCAGAUUGUCGGAUCCACAGAAUCUAGGGGAUCCACAAGAGCUGGAAAAGAUUAGGACUACUUGUGUGAAAUGGUACCUCCUAUAUUUGGUUGGAUGCUUGUUGUUUGGUGAUAAAAGCAACAAACGCAUUGAGUUGGUCUAUCUGACGACCAUGGAGGACGGCUACGCGGGGAUGCGUAAUCAUUCUUGGGGAGGGAUGACAUUAGCAUACCUAUACCACUGUCUAUCUGAGGUCUCUUUACCUGGAGGUGGAGCUCUUGAGCGAAGCGUGACACUGGUCACUGCUGUAUGAAAUUGUCACAUUGGAACCUUAACUUUAUUUUUAUUUUUGUUUUAUUUUCGUGCGUAAUAAUUUAUAAAAGUGAUUUGUUUGGUUUGUGCAGGGAUGGUUUUUGUGUCACUUGCCGGAGCGGGGUCUGAGAUAGUACGGCUAUGUUCAGACCGUUCCCAUACCUCCUACGACGAUUGAGCCUCUUGAGCCAGCGGAGGUGGUUACGGCCUUCUUGGAGUUUGCUCUCCAUGUCCAAAGCCAGCAAGAGAGGGGUGAGUCGGUCCCGGAGGACGAGGGGCAUAAGCAUUCAAAGGGGUACAUGAAAUGAUUCUACCGUGUAUCCCAUCUUCUUAUGAUCGCCCCUGCUGCCGUUCCUGAGGACCACAGUUCCUAGACCUCCCUAUGAGGAGGUUAUUGUUGAGCAGCGGUGGGCCGGACAUCCUCCCGACCCAUACCAGAUGAUCAUCCAAAAUGUCAGAGUCGUAGUUAACAGCGCUAUGGAGGGGAUUCCUGAAGUGUAUUCAAAUCUUGUUGUUGUCCGCUUUAUUGAGACCAUCCAGCACCAGUAUCGCGUGUUGGAGGAGGUGCCGACUCCGCGGAGGAGGAGGAGGACACGGAAGUAGUAGGCUCUUAAAAAAAGCAUACUGUCUCCCCACCACCACAAUGAAUAUUGCCUAAAAAUAAUUCCGAUAUAUACAUCCACCUCCACUUAUAUUGAGUUAGACCAAAUCAAAUAAUUGCAAAAAAAAAAAAGUAAUCCUAAUCCACAAUCAAUAUUACCGAUAUAUUAGGCUUUUUGAAAGUUUGAUUUGCUUUGUGACGUGUAGCUUAAUCCGUAAGCAUAUGGAAAUCUGACGUAUUUCAUUAAUAAUUGUACCCUCCCACUCACCAUUGUCUCUAACUAGUAUAAAACAUUAUAUUAUUCCCUAUGUUUUAUGCAUCAAUACAAAAAUCACACUAAGAUGGCUUCUUUUUUCUCAUACUUGCUUGUGUUUUUCUUUGCAUUUCUGAUUCUCAUCCCUCAAGGCUUUGGUAAUAAUCCUAGCCAUAAUAAACAUUUACAUCAUCCACCAUCAACAUAUGUACAUCCUACCACCUUACCCAAACCAAUUUACCCUGCCAGUACCAACAUUCCAAAAAAGCAUCCUCACCACCCUCCAAAAGAAGAUAACACUCAUUUCUAAAGUAUGAAAUGAGAGUUUUGAACUAUAUAUAUGUACUGAAUAGGUGGUCCUAGUUACCAAGCUGUUUGUUUUCUAUAGUAAUAUGUACUCUCCUACUUGGCAAAUGUGUGUGUGUGUGUGUUUGUGUGUGUAUGUGUCAUGAAUAAAAAUUACUUGACAAGAAAGAAUGCUAUGUACGUACUGCAGAUUUUAAAUAUUUUUAUUUGUGACACUAGAUUAUAAUAAAUAAAUAUUAUGAUUGUGUGAGAUUGAUAGGUUUGAUUGAUUUAUAUAUAUCGAGCAAUUUCAGACCGUAAAUAAGUCUAUAAUAUAAGUUUGGUCGAAUUUUAGGAAAAGAAAACUUGAGAUUCCUCAAAAAAAAAAAAAAAAAAAAACUUAUGAUUAUAUAUCUACAUAAACACUUGUGAGACUUGAAAAUCACGUUGAUUUUUGCCUAGAUAUGUGUUCUCUACCCAACUCUUCAUCCUUUAAUAAACACAACAUCAAAAAAUUAGACAAACUUUAGUACUGUAACAAGCUGAUCAUGCAAACAGAGUAAAACAGCAGCAAAACUAACCUAUACCCUUAAACAACUCAACUCUUCUUCAGAGCAACAAAACCAUAAACAUGUUGAAGCACAGAAACAACACUAGCCAAAUGCCACAAAUCAGUUAUGUAAACAUGAGCAACAUGAAGCAACAAGAAAAUAAGAACACAAAAAAAAAACAGCAAGAAGUAUCCAACAGCACAAAUGAUAUUUGACAUAGGUGAAUGUUGGCAAUUUUGGAGGACAAUGACUCAUAAUCUCGUAUAUGCUAUGUGGUUGUAUCAUAAAGUGAAAAAAAAAAUUGUUACAACUCAUGAGGUGUAAUUAAGAACUCUCAUUCAUCAAUGCAUUGUUAAUCCAAAACAGAAUUUAAAUUUUCAAGCCCUCUCAGUUCAUAAGUAACUUAGGUUUGUUAUAGUUUAUCUUUCGUUUAAGUCAUUACCUUGUCUAUAUAUAAGCAAAUUUUAACUUGUUAGAUUUAUUCAAUUAAUGAUGUAUGUGGUCUAUAAUAUAGAUCAUAUACAUCAUUGAUUGAAUAAAUCUAAAAAAGAUUUCUUUAUAAUUGACAACGGAGGGACUACAUGUGAGGGACCAGAUAUUCGAACUCUGGCCAUGAUGUUUAUUGUAACAAUUCCACAUUUUUGUCAGUUGAGUUACGAUUUGUAAACUAUUAUGAUACAGUUUUUUGUUGUAAAAAGAUCAAUUAUUUUAGGACGAAGGAAGUAUGCAUAUAUUUUGUUGUUUUUAAAUAUACAUUCUCUAAUAACUAUUAUAAUCAAAUAUUACUUCUUCAGGUUUAUUAAAUAAUUGAUGUAUAUGAACUACAUAAUAGUUUAGAUAUAUAAAUUAUUCAAUGAACUUCAACAAAAAAAAAAUGUUUUUAUUUUAAAGAAAAAAAAAAAUUAUCUUUUACUCUAAAUAAAAUGUUUAUUUGUUUAUAAUAGUAUCGGGAGGAAGUAUCUUUUACUUAAAUUAUUAAGGGUGAAAUAUGUUUUUAAUCCCUAUAAAUAUACCAACUUUUUGUUUUAGUCUCUCUAAAAUUUUCCUUCAACUUUUAGUUCCUAUAAAAUUUUCAAUCACUACGUUUGUCCCUAUUUUUAAGUUAAUUUUUUUAUUUUUUAAAUGAAAUUGUGCAGAAUGUAUAGAAUAUUGUAAAUAAAAAUCCAAAAAAAAAAUAGAAUUUUUUAACAAAACACAAAUUAAAUAUGAAUUUUUAACCUUUAAAAAUAUAAAAAUUCAUAUUAAAUUCAUGUUUUGUUAAAUAAUUCUAAUUUAUUUUUUUUAGAGAUUCUUAUAAUAUUAUGGAUUUUCCUGCCAAAUUUCAUUCAAAAAUAUGAAUUCUAGAUAUGAGUUUACUUUAAAAGAGAGACCAAAAGUGAAUAUGGAAAAUUUUUAAGGGACUAAAAGUUGAAGAAAAAUUUUAAAGAGAUUAAAAGGAAAAGUUGACAUACUUAUAAAGACUUCAGAAAUGUAUAGAAUAACCCCAACUUCAUAUUAUAAUUUAUAUCACUCAAAAACAUCAAACACCUCAUGUCCAUGUGACAUUUACAAUUUUCAUUUCUCAAUCCCCUCAUGAAGGAAUACUCAACAGAAAACAUACUAUCAAAAUGAACGACGUAGUAGUUAUAAUAUUUUGGGUUAAUUAAAUUUUUUGUCUCAGUAAAUAUUUAGAAUUUUGUUUUUAGUCCCUACAAAAUAAAAUCACAUUUUUUAGUCCUUAUAAAAUUUUUCAUCAACAUUUUUAGUCCUUAUAAAAUAUUUAAUAAGCAUUUUUAGUCCCUAUAAAAUUUUUCUAUCAGCAUUUUUAGUCCCUCAAAUGCUUAAGGAAAAUGUCACAGGGACUAAAAAGUGUGAUUUUAUUUUGCAAGCACUAAAAACAAAACUGUGAAUAUUUAGAGACUAAAAACUUAAUUAACCCUAAUAUUUUUACAUAUAAAUGGAAGUAUAUAUUUAUUAAUGAUAAUUUUGGAGUUAAAAUUUAUCAAAAUAUUGAAGGAAAAAAACAUACAAAUGGUGGAGGAAGAAGAACAUAAUAUAGGAAUCAUUCCCUUGUAACAUAUGAUUAAUCAAAAAUAAAGCUCAACAUUAGAAUCUGAAUGAUGUCCGAGAAAUAUUCAAGCCUUUACAGAGAGAUCCUCCAAAAUAGCCAUGGAAAAUUGAUCUUCUCAUUGAUUUUACAAGAACCAUGCUAGCAAGAGUUUUAGUUGAGUAUAGCAACUAGGUACCCAGUUCUGUUAGAGACAUUGCAAGAACCAUAUUCUUUUAAUUGAUUUUAAAAAUACACUCGAGUUUUAACCAUUUACUUGACCUGUAAAGAUGAUCUGAGUUUAACUAGUAACAAACAAUAUAUCACAAUAAAGUCAUUGCUAAGUGGAUCAAAAACAGAAUGAAUGAAAUGGCUUGAAUAAGUGAGUUUAUUAAUACAGUUCUAAAAUAUUUUAUGGCUUCCUUAAUUUUUAAAAGAAAAACAAGUUUUACCCAACAUUUUUUAAUGGCCUCUAGAGGAUCAGACAUUUCUCAUCAGCCAAUAACCCUGUAAUCAAAGAGGAUCAGACAUUUCUUAUCCACUUCAUAGCUCACCUAUCUCAAACCAUUAGUUCUUUCUUUCACAAUCAUUCAUUAAUGGAGACUUGUUACUAAAAUCAAAUAGUAACAGACUUUUGUUAUCCAUAAACUUGCAUUUUGUUCUUGUUAUUCUUCUUACAAACUAAGCAACUGAUGGAUUUUAGAAUUGAUCUUGUUAAAGCAUUGUUAGACAAACUUUCUUCUAGAGAGUUUGUUGACAAUUUCCGAAGCACAAAGCUUGACGUUUCACUCUUGACAGAGAUGACUGAAAACACUCUGCUCACUCUCAACUUCUGUGAAGGUGCUGUUAGACAAGAUUGUUUCUAGUGAGUACUUCAUCGGCAAGUUCCAGGCCACGAAGCUUGACGUUUCACUACUCUUGGAAAAGCUUAAGACAAUACUUAUGGUUCUUCAUGAAGCUGUGGAGACACUUACUUUAAGGCUUUGUCGACAACUUUGGCUGAAUAUGCUGGAAUAUAUAUGUUGUAUUUGAACUCUACAAUUGCUCUUGCUCCAAAGAUUAUUUUAACAAUAUCCAACUGUUGUAACAAGAUGGACCAAGCGUUACGAACAUGCUUAUGAACUUUAAGGAAAAUGGUUAUUAAAGUAAUACUUAAAUGACUUAAGACAAUAAUUUGAAUGAACAAGAGAUGUUGAUGAUGAGAAUGGCUUGGCUUGGGUUACUUGUUUAUUUUUCUUUUGAGGGAAACACGACUAAUUGAAAGGUAAAGUGGUUAUUUUGAAUAACAUGUGGGUUGUGCGAGAAGCAAUGAGUAUUUAAAAUGAAAGAUGGAGAGAAAGGAUAGUCUUGCUCACUUGAAAGGAAUGGAAUAACAUACAUUAAGAUAAUAACUUCCAAAUGGAUUAUAAUUAUAUAAUGGGGUUGACCAAAACAUGCGAGAACUUAUGGCCUAAUAUCCUUAGAUGAAAUUAAUUGGGAAGAAGCAAUUAAGAAGGAAAAGGUUACAAAUGAAGAAGAGGUUUAUGUAAGUGUGUACUAAUAAAUGCAUAAUACCAUCAAGAAUAAAUUGGGAACAUAAAGGAACUUUGUGCUCUGUUCAUUGUUAUUCUUAACAAAUACAAAAAAGAGAAGGAAAAAAACAACACAUAUAGUUCCCAAACUGAACUACACACUAUCCUCAAUAUUUCAUUUAUAUUGCUUAAUGACUAUAGAAAUGUAAUCCCCUGAUUAUUAUUGAUGAGAAUUGUGAUAGAUAUACAAUUGUUUCUGAUUCUGAUAUAGAAACUAAUAAAUGCAUAAUGAAUAAACUGAACUACACAUUAUCCUCAAUGUUUCAUUUAUAUUGCUUAAUGACUAUAGAAAUGUAAUCCCUUGAUUAUUAUUGAUGAGAAUUGUGAUAGAUAUACAAUUGUUUAAUUGUUUCUGAUUCUGAUAUAGAAACUAAUAAAUGCAUAAUGAAUAUACAAUAAUGUCUAAUCAAUAUAAUUACAUAUUUGACAAGUAAAAUAGUAAUGUCUAAUGAAUAUACAAUAAACAUAAUUGAUUCUAAUACUCCCCCGCAGUCGCUCCCCCGCAGCCGAAGCGGGAGGUGGACGAAUGCUGAGGCUGUCACGAAAAUCUUGGAAUAAUAUCAAGGGAAGACCUUUUGUGAAAACAUCUGCAAUUUGAUAUCGUGAUGGUACGUGCAGAACUCAGACUUGGCCACGAGACACCUUUUCGCAAACAAAAUGAAUAUCCAUCUCAAUAUGUUUUGUUCUUUGAUGUUGGACCGGGUUACCAGAGAGAUAAAUUGCACUGACAUUAUCAUAAUAAACCAUGGUUGCUUUGUGAAUAGGACACUGUAACUCAAGGAGAAGAUUGCGUAGCCAACAUGAUUUAGAGAUCACAUUGGCAACUC